RNAcentral lists this ribosomal RNA (468 nucleotides) under uncultured bacterium. RNAcentral's name for it is "partial 16S ribosomal RNA". It matches the Rfam family "Bacterial small subunit ribosomal RNA", at positions 28 to 507 of the family's 1533-position model. The record is from RNAcentral.
GACGAACGCUGGCGGCGUGCUUAACACAUGCAAGUCGAACGGAAAGGCCCUGCUUUUGUGGGGUGCUCGAGUGGCGAACGGGUGAGUAACACGUGAGUAACCUGCCCUUGACUUUGGGAUAACUUCAGGAAACUGGGGCUAAUACCGGAUAGGAGCUCCUGCUGCAUGGUGGGGGUUGGAAAGUUUCGGCGGUUGGGGAUGGACUCGCGGCUUAUCCGCUUGUUGGUGGGGUAGUGGCUUACCAAGGCUUUGACGGGUAGCCGGCCUGAGAGGGUGACCGGCCACAUGGGGACUGAGAUACGGCCCAGACUGCUACGGGAGGCAGCAGUGGGGAAUAUUGCACAAUGGGCGGAAGCCUGAUGCAGCAACGCCGCGUGCGGGAUGACGGCCUUCGGGUUGUAAACCGCUUUCGCCUGUGACGAAGCGUGAGUGACGGUAAUGGGUAAAGAAGCACCGGCUAACUACGUG